Molecule: ribosomal RNA, 512 nt
Filed under: uncultured bacterium
Lineage: Bacteria
Description: partial 16S ribosomal RNA
Rfam family: Bacterial small subunit ribosomal RNA
Source: RNAcentral
GAUGAACGCUGGCGGCGUGCCUAAUACAUGCAAGUCGAACGAAACUUCUUUAUCACCGAGUGCUUGCACUCACCGAUAAAGAGUUGAGUGGCGAACGGGUGAGUAACACGUGGGCAACCUGCCCAAAAGAGGGGGAUAACACUUGGAAACAGGUGCUAAUACCGCAUAACCAUAGUUACCGCAUGGUAACUAUGUAAAAGGUGGCUAUACUACCGCUUUUGGAUGGGCCCGCGGCGCAUUAGCUAGUUGGUAGGGUAAAGGCUUACCAAGGCAAUGAUGCGUAGCCGAAUUGAGAGGUUGAUCGGCCACAUUGGGACUGAGACACGGCCCAAACUCCUACGGGAGGCAGCAGUAGGGAAUCUGCCACAAUGGGCGAAAGCCUGAUGGAGCAACGCCGCGUGGGUGAAGAAGGUCUUCGGAUCGUAAAACCCUGUUGUUAGAGAAGAAAGUGCGUGAGAGUAACUGUUCACGUUUCGACGGUAUCUAACCAGAAAGCCACGGCUAACUACGUG